AAGAGGAGGAUCUACGACGGCGAUUUCGCCGCCCCCCCCCCCCCCCCCGCCNCCCACGCCCUCCUGGGCAGGACGGCGGCAAACGCCCGCCCGGCCGCACCCCCCGUCCCCUCCCCCUCGCGGCCGUCCAGCCUCCGGCCAGGUCCCCGGGAAACCCCGGGCGACAGCUGCGGGCGCCCGAGCAGGGUCCGGGGGGCGGGGGGAGGCCGCGAAGAGGGGGCGACGCCACCAUUUGUUAGCAGCCCGCGGACGCCCCGGGACCCGGAGGCGGCGAGAUCCCGCGCGCCCGCCGGCGGCCCGGGGCCUCCAGGUCGCCCCCUUGCAGCGGAGAGCGGCGACACCGGCCCCGGCGCGUCCUCCGGGAGGGGGGAGGGGGGAAGGCCCCCUCCCCCCUCCCCGCUGCAAACGCGCGGGGGCCGCCCGCGAGGGGAGGGGGGGCAGGAGCGCGGGAGGGCCCCGCACCCCAAAUUCGGCCUCCCGGGCCACAGAGCCGGUCGCAGAGCGGAGCUUAACGCAGCUCCCGGAGGGAAACACACCCGCCCGAGGGGUCGUGGGAAGCCCUUCCCCGCCCCUCUCCACACCGCCGCCGCGAGACCCACCUUCCGCUUCUUUCAGCAGCUGAGAAACUGGGGGGCGUUUAUGGCGCCCCGGGAGGAAGGCUCGCAGGCUGAGAGAAUGUCACCUCUGAGGCACCCUUUUCUCUCCCCCCUCCCCUCACACACACACACGCACAACUUGAACUCCUCGCCAGCGGUCGCCGCCCAGCCGCCGGCCCCCUUGCGCCCACCUGGCUGCCGGCUUCUGACACCCCAAGCCCCCACUUUCUCCCAAACACCUCCCCUCCCCCUCCAUUUGGGAGCGGAGGGAGGGCCCCCCCCCGCUUCAAUGCGGAAAUGUCCCCGCGGCUCCUACAGGCAGGAGCAACCGCCAAUCAGGAGCCGAGGCGGACGCAAGGCCUGGCCAAUGAGACGCGCGGAGGUGGCAGGGGGCGGGGCGUCCGCGAGGGAGCCCCGCGGAGGUGGGCGCGCUGAGCCGGACCCCGGGAGGCGUCUGAGGGAGCCGCACGUGCGGCGGCGGGGCAGGGGGUGUCUCACCGGGUAG
Molecule: long non-coding RNA, 1101 nt
Filed under: Vulpes vulpes (red fox)
Lineage: Eukaryota; Metazoa; Chordata; Mammalia; Carnivora; Canidae
Description: lncRNA (ENSVVUG00000012293.1)
Source: RNAcentral